AAAUUUAUCAAGGAGAAGAACUUCCACAUCCAAAGUCCAUGCUUCAGGCAACAGCUGAAGCUAAUAAUCUUGCUGCAGUUGCAGGAGCAAGAGAUACCUAUUGUAAAAGUAUGGAACAGGUAUGUGGAGGGGACAAGCCUUACAUUGCACCUUCAGAUCUGGAGCGAAAACACUUGGAUCUCAAGGAAGUGGCGAUAAAACAAUUUCGUUCAGUAAAAAAGAUGGGUGGAGAUGAGUUCUGCCGUCGUUAUCAGGACCAGCUUGAAGCUGAAAUUGAAGAAACCUAUGCAAAUUUUAUAAAGCACAAUGAUGGCAAAAAUAUCUUCUAUGCUGCUCGUACCCCAGCCACACUGUUUGCGGUCAUGUUUGCUAUGUAUAUAAUCUCAGGACUGACUGGCUUCAUUGGCCUAAACUCUAUAGCCGUCUUGUGUAACCUUGUCAUGGGGUUAGCACUGACAUUUCUUUGUACUUGGGCAUAUGUUAAAUACUCUGGGGAGUUCAGAGAAAUUGGAACAAUGAUUGAUCAGAUUGCUGAAACACUAUGGGAACAGGUUGGUAUCUAUCUUUUGGUUUUUUAGUGACUAAUCUUAUUUUCCUGUGACUUUCCAUCCUUUGCAGUAUUUGUACUCGGACUUUGCCUUCACGUGAGGAAUGUCAAAAGGAUGUCUUCUGUUUUGUUCAGAUGUAGGAUCUUUAUGAAUUGAAUAUUUUUUCUUUAAAGUUAUAAUUUUAAUGUACUUUGGUUAGCCUAAAUCUGUACUAUC
This 764-nucleotide small RNA is filed under the name Pongo abelii (Sumatran orangutan). Its description in RNAcentral is "retained intron". Lineage: Eukaryota; Metazoa; Chordata; Mammalia; Primates; Hominidae. The record is from RNAcentral.